GAUUGAACGCUGGCGGUAUGCUUAACACAUGCAAGUCGAACGGAAACGAUACUAGCUUGCUAGUAGGCGUCGAGUGGCGGACGGGUGAGUAACGCGUAGGAAUCUGCCUGAUAGUGGGGGAUAGCCCGAAGAAAUUCGGAUUAAUACCGCAUAAUCUAUUCGUAGUAAAGUGGGGGACUUUCGAGCCUCACGCUAUCAGAUGAGCCUGCGUAAGAUUAGCUUGUUGGUAGGGUAAAAGCCUACCAAGGCGACGAUCUUUAGCUGGUCUGAGAGGAUGAUCAGCCACAUCGGGACUGAGACACGGCCCGAACUCCUACGGGAGGCAGCAGUGGGGAAUAUUGGACAAUGGGGGCAACCCUGAUCCAGCAAUACCGCGUGUGUGAAGAAGGCCUGAGGGUUGUAAAGCACUUUCAAUUGUGAAGAAAAGUUAGCGGUUAAUAACCGUUAGCCUUGACGUUAACUUUAGAAGAAGCACCGGCUAACUCCGUGCCAGCAGCCGCGGUAAUACGGAGGGUGCAAGCGUUAAUCGGAAUUACUGGGCGUAAAGCGUGCGUAGGCGGUUUAUUAAGUCAGAUGUGAAAGCCCCGGGCUUAACCUGGGAACUGCAUUUGAAACUGGUCAACUAGAGUAUGGUAGAGGAAAGUGGAAUUUCUGGUGUAGCGGUGAAAUGCGUAGAUAUCAGAAGGAACAUCAAUGGCGAAGGCAGCUUUCUGGACCAAUACUGACGCUGAGGUACGAAAGCGUGGGUAGCAAACAGGAUUAGAUACCCUGGUAGUCCACGCCGUAAACGAUGAUAACUAGCCGUUGGGGGGAUUUACCCUUUAGUGGGCGAAGCUAACGCGUUAAGUUAUCCGCCUGGGGAGUACGGCCGCAAGGUUAAAACUCAAAGGAAUUGACGGGGACCCGCACAAGCGGUGGAGCAUGUGGUUUAAUUCGAUGCAACGCGAAGAACCUUACCUGGUCUUGACAUCCUGCGAACUUUCUAGAAAUAGAUUGGUGCCUUCGGGAACGCAGUGACAGGUGCUGCAUGGCUGUCGUCAGCUCGUGCCGUGAGAUGUUGGGUUAAGUCCCGUAACGAGCGCAACCCCUAUCCUUAUUUGCCAGCACAUCAUGGUGGGAACUAUAAGGAGACUGCCGGUGAUAAACCGGAGGAAGGCGGGGACGACGUCAAGUCAUCAUGGCCCUUACGACCAGGGCUACACACGUGCUACAAUGGGAAGGACAAAGAGCCGCGAAGCCGCGAGGUGUAGCUAAUCUCAUAAACCUUUUCGUAGUCCGGAUUGGAGUCUGCAACUCGACUCCAUGAAGUCGGAAUCGCUAGUAAUCGUAGAUCAGAAUGCUACGGUGAAUACGUUCCCGGGUCUUGUACUCACCGC
RNAcentral lists this ribosomal RNA (1376 nucleotides) under uncultured bacterium. RNAcentral's name for it is "bacterial SSU rRNA". It matches the Rfam family "Bacterial small subunit ribosomal RNA", at positions 27 to 1393 of the family's 1533-position model. The record is from RNAcentral.